RNAcentral lists this ribosomal RNA (195 nucleotides) under Triticum aestivum (bread wheat). RNAcentral describes it as "partial small subunit ribosomal RNA". The record is from RNAcentral. Lineage: Eukaryota; Viridiplantae; Streptophyta; Magnoliopsida; Poales; Poaceae.
AUGGCCGAUACUACUAGAAGAAUUCCUCUUUGGCUGAUAGGCACUGUAGCUGGUAUUGCUGUGAUUGGUUUAGUAGGUGUUUUCUUUUAUGGUUCAUAUUUCAGAAUCCUCUAUUUUAGUUCUUCCACCCAUGCAAUAGAGAGGGAAUGGGAAAAGAAGGGUUACUUUUAUUUUCAUUUUUCCGUUAAAAGAUAG